RNAcentral lists this ribosomal RNA (742 nucleotides) under Gyalolechia stipitata. Its description in RNAcentral is "LSU rRNA". It matches the Rfam family "Eukaryotic large subunit ribosomal RNA", at positions 165 to 924 of the family's 3401-position model. Lineage: Eukaryota; Fungi; Ascomycota; Lecanoromycetes; Teloschistales; Teloschistaceae. The record is from RNAcentral.
CGGGCGCGGCGCCGGUCUAAGUUCCUUGGAACGGGGCGUCAUAGAGGGUGAGAAUCCCGUCUGUGAUCGGCGACCAAGCCCAUGUGAAACUCCUUCGACGAGUCGAGUUGUUUGGGAAUGCAGCUCAAAAUGGGUGGUAAAUUUCAUCUAAAGCUAAAUACUGGCCAGAGACCGAUAGCGCACAAGUAGAGUGAUCGAAAGAUGAAAAGCACUUUGGAAAGAGAGUCAAAAAGUACGUGAAAUUGUUGAAAGGGAAGCGCUUGCAACCAGACCUGCCCGCGGGCGAUCAACCGUCCCUCUGGGGCGGUGCACGCGCCCGCGAACAGGCCAGCAUCGGUUCGGGCGGCCGGAUAAAGGCCUUGGGAACGUAGCUCCCCUCGGGGAGUGUUAUAGCCCUCGGUGCAAUGCGGCCAGCCUGGACCGAGGACCGCGCUUCGGCUAGGAUGCUGGCGUAAUGGUUGUAAGCGGCCCGUCUUGAAACACGGACCAAGGAGUCUAACAUUUAUGCGAGUGUUUGGGUGUUAAAUCCAUACGCGUAAUGAAAGUGAACGGAGGUAGGAACCCUUUAGGGGGCACUAUCGACCGAUCCUGAUGUCUUCGGAUGGAUUUGAGUACGAGCAUAACUGUUGGGACCCGAAAGAUGGUGAACUAUGCCUGAAUAGGGUGAAGCCAGAGGAAACUCUGGUGGAGGCUCGCAGCGGUUCUGACGUGCAAAUCGAUCGUCAAAUUUGGGUAUAGGGGC